This is a long non-coding RNA of Zea mays, 246 nucleotides long. RefSeq lists it as uncharacterized. The transcript is spliced from 2 exons. The record is from RefSeq and is a predicted model, not a curated record. NCBI's taxonomy places the organism in Eukaryota, Viridiplantae, Streptophyta, Magnoliopsida, Poales, Poaceae.
UUUGAUUAUAAGAUAGAUUUCAAUAUCUACAUUUUAAUAUAUGGGACGGUCCAUCACAAUAGCUUGCCACUAGGCCCUCACGUGUCAUACAGCUAUUGCACUAUACCAUCAAAUAUGAUUGGUGUACCAUCACAACGUACUGACAUUGUACUAGUACAACACACUUGAGCAGAUUCAAGGACUGGCAUAUGAAGGAAUAAACCGCUGGUAGGACCACCAUUGGUGUGUUUGUACAACAACAAUACU